AAAUAAGUUAUUCCUUCAUAUAUCCUCAAUAAUAUGGAUUGAGAGUCUCUACCGGGCCGCCGUAAAUGGUCUGACUAUGAAGGCAGAAUAUC
RNAcentral lists this non-coding RNA (92 nucleotides) under uncultured Neobacillus sp. RNAcentral describes it as "Purine riboswitch". It matches the Rfam family "Purine riboswitch aptamer". Rfam says of the family: Riboswitches are metabolite binding domains within certain messenger RNAs that serve as precision sensors for their corresponding targets. Allosteric rearrangement of mRNA structure is mediated by ligand binding, and this results in modulation of gene expression. A class of riboswitches that selectively recognises guanine and becomes saturated at concentrations as low as 5 nM. Lineage: Bacteria; Bacillati; Bacillota; Bacilli; Caryophanales; Bacillaceae. The record is from RNAcentral.